Molecule: ribosomal RNA, 1523 nt
Filed under: Escherichia coli
Lineage: Bacteria; Pseudomonadati; Pseudomonadota; Gammaproteobacteria; Enterobacterales; Enterobacteriaceae
Description: partial 23S ribosomal RNA
Rfam family: Bacterial large subunit ribosomal RNA
Source: RNAcentral
GAAUGCUGACAUAAGUAACGAUAAAGCGGGUGAAAAGCCCGCUCGCCGGAAGACCAAGGGUUCCUGUCCAACGUUAAUCGGGGCAGGGUGAGUCGACCCCUAAGGCGAGGCCGAAAGGCGUAGUCGAUGGGAAACAGGUUAAUAUUCCUGUACUUGGUGUUACUGCGAAGGGGGGACGGAGAAGGCUAUGUUGGCCGGGCGACGGUUGUCCCGGUUUAAGCGUGUAGGCUGGUUUUCCAGGCAAAUCCGGAAAAUCAAGGCUGAGGCGUGAUGACGAGGCACUACGGUGCUGAAGCAACAAAUGCCCUGCUUCCAGGAAAAGCCUCUAAGCAUCAGGUAACAUCAAAUCGUACCCCAAACCGACACAGGUGGUCAGGUAGAGAAUACCAAGGCGCUUGAGAGAACUCGGGUGAAGGAACUAGGCAAAAUGGUGCCGUAACUUCGGGAGAAGGCACGCUGAUACGUAGGUGAAGUCCCUCGCGGAUGGAGCUGAAAUCAGUCGAAGAUACCAGCUGGCUGCAACUGUUUAUUAAAAACACAGCACUGUGCAAACACGAAAGUGGACGUAUACGGUGUGACGCCUGCCCGGUGCCGGAAGGUUAAUUGAUGGGGUUAGCGGUAACGCGAAGCUCUUGAUCGAAGCCCCGGUAAACGGCGGCCGUAACUAUAACGGUCCUAAGGUAGCGAAAUUCCUUGUCGGGUAAGUUCCGACCUGCACGAAUGGCGUAAUGAUGGCCAGGCUGUCUCCACCCGAGACUCAGUGAAAUUGAACUCGCUGUGAAGAUGCAGUGUACCCGCGGCAAGACGGAAAGACCCCGUGAACCUUUACUAUAGCUUGACACUGAACAUUGAGCCUUGAUGUGUAGGAUAGGUGGGAGGCUUUGAAGUGUGGACGCCAGUCUGCAUGGAGCCGACCUUGAAAUACCACCCUUUAAUGUUUGAUGUUCUAACGUUGGCCCCUGAUCGGGGUUGCGGACAGUGUCUGGUGGGUAGUUUGACUGGGGCGGUCUCCUCCUAAAGAGUAACGGAGGAGCACGAAGGUUGGCUAAUCCUGGUCGGACAUCAGGAGGUUAGUGCAAUGGCAUAAGCCAGCUUGACUGCGAGCGUGACGGCGCGAGCAGGUGCGAAAGCAGGUCAUAGUGAUCCGGUGGUUCUGAAUGGAAGGGCCAUCGCUCAACGGAUAAAAGGUACUCCGGGGAUAACAGGCUGAUACCGCCCAAGAGUUCAUAUCGACGGCGGUGUUUGGCACCUCGAUGUCGGCUCAUCACAUCCUGGGGCUGAAGUAGGUCCCAAGGGUAUGGCUGUUCGCCAUUUAAAGUGGUACGCGAGCUGGGUUUAGAACGUCGUGAGACAGUUCGGUCCCUAUCUGCCGUGGGCGCUGGAGAACUGAGGGGGGCUGCUCCUAGUACGAGAGGACCGGAGUGGACGCAUCACUGGUGUUCGGGUUGUCAUGCCAAUGGCACUGCCCGGUAGCUAAAUGCGGAAGAGAUAAGUGCUGAAAGCAUCUAAGCACGAAACUUGCC